AUUCUAAUUAAAAUUUCAAGUAUGAGUUUAAAUUUUGCAUUUUGCAUUCCAUAUUGGCUCUACUCCCCCUUUUUGACAAAACUUGGAGUAAAUGCAACACAUAAAGCAUUAUGAGCAUAUACUCAGAUAUUUCUCCCCCUUUUUGACAACAUCAAAAAGAUAGUGAAACAUUAAUCACAAAGAUAAGAAUGCUCAAGGCAAUAAUGUUAGAAAAAAUAAAUGAGCAUAGAUCAGAGCCAUUUCAGAUAAUUUCAGAGCAAAUUAUGAUGAGAGCACAUCUAAUGUGAUUCCAAGGAUAGUUUUCAACUCAAGUGUAGAUGGAAU
This 324-nucleotide long non-coding RNA is filed under the name Phoenix dactylifera (date palm). RNAcentral describes it as "long non-coding RNA (PDAC_LNC021423)". Lineage: Eukaryota; Viridiplantae; Streptophyta; Magnoliopsida; Arecales; Arecaceae. The record is from RNAcentral.